CAGCACCCGCUCCACGCCCGGCUCCUGCCCAGGAAAAUAAAAUACCCAAAAAUAACCACAAAAAUCAGCCCCAAAUAAUCCCAAAAUAGCCAAAAAAAUCCCAAAAUAAUUUGAAAAUAUUCACCCAAAAAUUUCGAAAAAUAACAAAAAAAAAAUCAGCUCAAAAUCAGCCCCAAAAUAGCCCAAAAAUCAGCCCAAAAUCCCCCCAAAAUCAUCCCCAAAUCCACCCCAAAAUCAGCCCAAAAUCAGCCCCAAAUCAGCCCAAAAAUCAGCCCAAAAUCAUCCCAAAAUCACUCCAAAAUCAGCCCAAAAUCAGCCCCAAAUCAUCUCCAAAAUCAUCCCAAAAAUCAGCCCCAAAUCAUCUCCAAAAUCAUCCCCAAAUCAGCCCCAAAAUCAUCCCAAAAUCAUCCCAAAAUCAGCCCAAAAUCAUCCCAAAACCAUCCCCAAAUCAGCCCCAAAAUCAUCCCAAAAUCAGCCCAAAAAUCAUCCCAAAAUCAGCCCCAAAAUCAGCCCCAAAUCAUCCCAAAAUCACCCCAAAAUCAGCCCAAAAUCAGAACAAAAUCACCCCAAAUCAGCCCAAAAUCAUCUCCAAAAUCACCCCAAAAUCAUCCCAAAAUCAGCCCCAAAUCACCCCAAAAUCACCCCAAAAAACCCCCCCAAGACUACCAAAAAUUCCCACAAAAAUAUCCCUCAAAAACAAACAACAAAACAAAAAAAAAUCCCAAAAAGUUCAAAAGAAAAAUUCAUAAAAAUUCCACAACAUUUUAAAAAAAAAUCCUCAAAAAAUCCAAAACGAUCCCACAAAAAAUCCCCAAAGAACCCCCAAAAUAAAACAGAGAAAUCCCCCCAAAAUCCCCCAAAAUCAUCUCAAAAAAAACCCACAAAAAUAACUCAGGGAAAACCCAAAAUCGCCAAAAAUUCCCACAAAAAUCCCACAGAAAUGCCAAAAUUAAAAAAAAAAAAAUCCUAAAAAUAAUUCAGGGAAAAUUCCCCCCCAAAUAAAACCAGGGAAUCCUCAAAAAAACCCCA
This 1029-nucleotide long non-coding RNA is filed under the name Zonotrichia albicollis (white-throated sparrow). Its description in RNAcentral is "lncRNA (ENSZALG00000001726.1)". The record is from RNAcentral. Lineage: Eukaryota; Metazoa; Chordata; Aves; Passeriformes; Passerellidae.